UGGGUUUGUUGUGGAGAUGCCAGCUCGGGUCCUGGCAGGUGAUGAAUGACCCGGAAUUGGAGAGAUCCUGCAGCCAGUGCCAGGAGCUGAGUGAAAAACGAGCGAGGGCAGAGGCUGCAGGACGUGACAGGCUCCUACAGACAGAGGGUCAGGCGAGGACGUGCAGCUCCACGUUUCUGGCAUGUGAUGUUAAUGCAUGGAAAGACAAACUCCAGCCUGCUUUCCCUGAGCAGGAGGAGCUCUGCUGGGUUUAAUGGACUUUGAGGCAUCCUGAGAAUUCCAUUUAGGACCUGGGCUGUGCUGUGUAGUAAUAAAGUUCUGUUUCUUCAGUGGUACCUCAGGAUGUCUGACCUACAAGACAGGUGCCCAAAGGGAUGCACUGCCACCAAAGCAGGAGAUGUCUCCAGCUGAAUUUCAAUGGGAUGUUGCCAGUUCAACGAGAAAUCUGCUUUUUCUUGCUGAUCAGAUGAAAAAUUCCAGGCAUGGGGAAGUUGGUGACAGAGGAAAGCAGGAGUGCUGCUGCCCAGGGAAGUCCUUGUGGGCUGGGUGAAGUGAGAGGAGACAGAUCUUGCUUACAGAAUUUCCCUGGAUCACUCUUGCUGCAGGGUCCACAUGGCCAAGGGUAGAGCGUGGUGAUUAUGGAAAAUAUUUUUAUAUUGUCACACUUCCCUUCAUGAACUGUGGAGUGUGGGACCCCUGGAGAACACUCCCCUGUUGGCAGGUUUUAUCUCUACCUGGAUCACCUCAUCUCCAAGCCCUUUCCCUCUCCUCCCAGAGCUCUCCUGUCAGGGCAGGAGCACCCUUGGCAGAGGCACCACUCCAGCUCCACUCCUGGUUUGCUCCUGGUCGGUUCCACACUCUCUGGGAACUCUCCUCAUUUCUGGGCUGCUUUUGAUUACCCUGAGCUUUCUGGGGAAUGGUAAAAGCUCCUGCUGAGGUGGUUUCAGCCCAGACACACCCUAGGAAGAACAGGUCACCUUUCUUUUCUGGAUCCUGGACUACCUCAGGCUGCCAAUUUUAGCAGUGCCAGAGCUGAGGGGUUGUUCUUCAUCACCUUUCAACCCCUGAUGCUCCAUAAACAGCCAGGGCUUGACCUUAGAACAUCCCAAUCAAUAUCUCCUUGGGUCUGUAUUGCACAGAAAAUAGAUAAAAUAUUCCAAAUCCUAAAGGAUGUUGAUCUUAGGGAAAUUAGUGAAGGCCAAGCAGCUCCUUUGUGUUUUUCUAUUAUCAGACAGAUGUUAAUCCUUAAUGAAUUAUGUUUGCCUGAAUCCAGGAGCACCAUUUAUCCCUCAUGACCUUUGCUGAGUUAUUAAGUGUUAUAAAUAACUACUCUUAAUAUGCAGGCAGUGUCCAAGUGCUUUUUAUACUGAUUCAGGAACAAUCACAAACUAAUUUUCCACAAAUAAUUCCUCAGAUAUUUGAAUAAAAUGAAGACUGCAUUUGCAUAUCUGCCCAGAAGGAACUCAUCUCCCUGAAAAAUAUUCUGGUUUGCAAGCUGCUUUAGUCAAUGGCUUUAGCACAGUCACCCUCACAAGAAAUUAUGCUAAUCCAUGUGGGAGAUUUCAUUUUCCUUCAAAAAGAAUGGAAGCACAGUAAGACACAGAACAGCCCCAAUGACUGCAGGGAGAGGCACUACCCUGAGAAAUGGAUUGCAGGAUCUACUCAAAUAAAUCAUGGUUUGUUAGGGAAAAACAGUUGGCAGGUUGGAAUCAGAUACAGCUAUGGACAAGUAUUCAAUGAACAAAUGGAAUUCAGGAUUUAAUUAGGAUGUGCAGGUGUUGAGUUACAUGUGCAGGACUAGCUGGGCUUGGCAACUGAAAACUGAAAAUAACCACUUGGGAAUAUCCAAGAGAGAAUCAGAGUCCCAGAAUGGUUUGGGUUGCAAGGAACCUUGAAGCUCAUCUCAUUCUGUUCCCUGCCAUGGGCAGGGACACCUUCCACUAUCCCAGGCUGCUCCAAGCCCUGUCCAACCAAAACAGCUGGAAUACAACUUAAAACCUCAUGGACCAUUUGGCUGAUUCACCCCUCAUAUCCCCACAACCAACAGGGUGGAAAACAACACAAAAAUCCUGGGAUUCUGUGUUCUCUGGGCUACUUAAUUUUGGAUUCAAUGAGGAGGACAUGGAGAAGCUCAGUGUGGCCCCAUCACAAGGCACCUGAGGUGACUUGCAGAGCUCAAAUCCAGAGUUUGCUCCUCACCAAGUGAGACAAACCCAGUGCCAGCACUGAGCACUGAAUAUUUCAGCAGUGGGGAUGUGAUGCCUUGGCCAAAGCCCUGAGUCCUUAAUUGCCAGCUUUGAAUGUCAUCUCUUUUUGAAUAAGACCAUCAAGCUGUGCUUUAAAGCAGCUUUUUAGUCAAAGGAAGAUACAAAUAUUCUCAUGUCUGUGAAGGAUCCCAUCAACUGAAAAAAUCAUGAGAAAGCCUCUCCUGAAUGAAGCUUGGGCUGGGCUGUGAAUCUUUAAUGUGCAUUUCUGCAGCUCCUUUCAACACUCAGCAAAUUCACAUUCUCUUUGACAGAGUAGACAUUUUCAUGAAGUAUUUAUAGCAGCCAAGCAAAAUAACCUGACUUCCUUUUUAACAGAGGCUUUUGGGAGGCAGCUCCCAAAUCCCAGUCUUCCUUAUUUACACUAUAAACAACAGAGAGAUCAAAUAAUAAAAUGGAACUGCAAUUACACUGGUUUUUCCAGUGGAGAAUACCUCCUUUUGUAAGAAGAUCUGGGUAGAUUCUGGCUGUUCUGUACAGCUCCAUUAUUUAUGAGUCAGGAGGAGAAAAGAGAACAGGGAAGAGCUGAUGGAGGAGGAAAGAGCAAACCCAAACACACUCCUGUGCCAUCAAAGCCCAGCCCAUCUCCUGGGCACAUCCCCAGCGUGGGGAGAAGGGUUUGUUCUCCAGGGAAAUCAAUUCAUCAAUUGAUAAAAUUCACUGCAUGGCACAACUGACAGACUUCUCUCAGGAAAAACAGGGCAGACAAAGAUUCUCCAUCCUACAGGGGAGUUCCUUUCACUUGGUGGAAAAAGUCCUGCAGGCUGGAGACCCUUGGAGGGUCUUCAGCCUUCCUUCUCCAGUGGCACCAUGGUGGCUGAAUCCUGGUGUUGUCCCUCCUAACACCACAAAUAUUCCAGACUUUGGACAGAUUUUCUGUUUCCUACUGGCUUGUGACUCACCAUGUGCUGCCAUUGAAGUGGCUGGAUUUAACCAGUGGCAGAGAGAGGAGAUUCUACAAAUGUGAAUCCUCUGCUCCAGCUUCUGCAUUUCAUAACUCACUUGAUAUUUCCCAGUUUGAAUGACUCCAAUAAAUGUGGCUUGCUGGUCAAUUUAGCAAGACGAGUGUUUCUAGUGAGGUCAGUGCAAGACAAAUAAGCAGGUUUCAGUAAAAUGACUCGUAACAUUUCAUAGAAAUUAUUAAAAAAUCAUAAAUGAGUGUUGCUUCCCACUAAUUGCCCAUUUACAGCCAUAUUCCUAUUGCUUCCUUCAGGAGUUUCACCAGUCAGACCUUUAAAAAAUAUACAAGGAGCUUAGAGAAGACGUUUGUUACAAUUGAUUGGAUGCAGAUGUCUAUAAAAAAAUGGAAAAUGGCAAAAGGAGAGCAAUAUCUCUGAGUUUUUCUAGCUUUUAUGGGCAGCAGAAGACCUGGCUGCCAUCAUUCCUCUGCCUGAAGGCAAAGAUUUCCAUUACCAGUGAAUCAGUCACAUGGGCAGGGAAAGAGAUAAAAAUUGGUCCUUUGUACAAUGUUCAGCUGAGGUAAUUAAUUGGGGAUUGAUUCAGGAGAAAUCCAACUCAUUUGAAGCCUACAGUGAUAAAAUCACCACAGAUGGGUUGGAGCAGGAGGAACUCCAGCCUGGCAGGACACGGAGAGAGCUCUGGGCGUGGGAGCAGCCAGCCUGCCCCAAGGCUUUCCUGAGUCUUUCCAAAGCUGGGAAUUUUCUGUUUAACUCUCAGGAGUGGCACUUCUGUCCCCAUUUCAGCUCCAUGUGGCUGCUCCCACCUUGGAGGGCUGAGGCUGCAGCCUUGUGCCUGGUUCUGCUGGGAUGGGACUUUUUAAAGCAUAUAAAUGUAAUUAUUCACAAGCCACGUCCUUCUUUCCAUCUACAAAGUCUUCCCUGCUCUGAAAUAUGAUCCAGUCAGUGCUGUGCUGUCACUGGGCAGUCCUGUCCCUGUCCUUAUGGAAAAUUGGUGCCACCUACUCCUGGUUUUCCAGCCCAGCAUCCCUGAUUGCUGGAUUACUCAGAGCAUUACUGCUCUGUAAUCUCAGCCUCCUCCCUCUCCUUCCUCUUUUCCAUGCAGCUCUGCUGACCCUUUCUUUGGGAAUUCCUCAAUUUACACUGUCCUUUUUCCCUCUGCCAAGCCACCCAGGGCCAUGGCUUCACCAGCCUGAAAUAUUCCCUUUAAUAUCCACUUUUGAUCCAAUUAUGGAUCCAAAAAUCUGCCAGGCAGAGCAGCAUCCCUGCUGAAGGGGAUGAAUGGAGCAGACACCAGCAGGAUGUCGACCACUGGAUCCACCCCUCUUGCCUCCAGGACCAGGAUCAUUCUGGGAUCUGCACACUCAUUUGGAACCUGGAGCUGGAAAAGAGAUAAAACCCAGGCAGUAAAGUCCUGCUUCAGAAUUCAAUAUUUCCCCUGCCAGUUUUUAAGGUUUUGGUACAAAACAAAUCUUCUUAAAACAGUUAUUCCAUAAUGAAGGGGGGGGUUAAGCCUGUUAUUCCAUAUUCCACUAUUUUACCAGGCCCACAGAGAACUGGACCAGAGCAGGAGUUUUUGUCUUUUAUGUACAGCAGAACUUGCUUGUUGUAUUUUAGCUACAUUAACUGCUCAAAGCAAUUUUCAGUAUUUCUAGUGAGUUAAAUUUAAAAAAAUAAUGAAGUUUCAUGUCAGCUCCUGGGGGAAGCAGAGGUGGAAAUAAUGAAUCCACAAAUAUAUUCCAUGGGCUCCAUAAAAUGGUGAUACAGCAGCAGAGCAGAGGAGAUGGCCAGGGCAAAACCUGGCACCAAAGCUCCUGUGGAAUUUCCUCCUGAAUUCCCUGAGGAUUACUCUGGCUGGUCUUCCAGGAGAACACCAGCCUGAGUAAUCCUGACUCCUGGAUUUGGUCUGCCUGAUUAUUCUUCACACUCAGGUGUUUGGUGCCUCUUGGUGCAUCCUCAGCUCCUGGAGUCGAAUGGCUCUGAGCAGGAUUUAGCAGGAUGCAGGAAAGUCAUGUGUGGAUAAAGGAAAACCUUCUAGAAACCUGGUUUUUGCAAAUCUUGGGAAAAACACAUUAAGAGGAGAGCUCCUGCAUGCAGCAGCACUGAGGGUGAUUCAGGCUGUUUCUGUGUAGGCAAAAAGAGCCUUUUUCAGGUUUGAAUUUCUUUUGGAUAUCAUUUGAAUUUGUGUUUUCUGCGUUCUGAAUUGUAGGGAAAAUGUAGAAAAUCGACCUCUCAGUUAAUCACAGUCCUCCCCCAAAUGCUACCAAACUAAAAUGUAGCUGGUUUUGCAAGCAAAGGAGUGGUUUUGCAGCUCUCAGUAAUAAAAUACCUCAGACAGAGCUAAUGGCCUCUCUCCAGAGGCAGUGGAGUCAUUCCUGCCCUCCAGCUUUAUAGAUCCUUAUUUUCAUUAGGUUUUUAUUUAAUGAAAGAAUAAAACUCACACACUCACACAGAGACAAAACCCCAGGAAAGUCUAUUUUAAAUAAGAAAUCAAUGUUAUUUUGUACCACAACCCUUCUUCCCAGUCUUCCCAAAAAUCUGCUCAGAAGGAUAAAGUUCAGGAGGGACAUUGUGGCUGUGAGCAAUGCUGGGUAGAAGAUAUUUUUAUUGAUGAAAUAUUGUAUUUUAUUGUAGAUUCAUGGGUGGCAUGCCACUGAUUCCCACAAAUCUCAUGUCCCAUCUGAGCUCUUACAGAUGUGAAUCCCUGGAUGUGCUACAACCCUGCAUCCCUUAUCAGGCUUAUUUAACACCUUAUCCCCUUCUCUGCCAGCUAUAACACUUUAAUUCUAAUUUUAAUAUUUGUUUUCUUGGUGAGGUCCCAGGAGAUGGAAUUUUCCUGGGCAUCCUGACAUUGUCCAUGUGUUAAUGUGGAUGAAUAUUUCCUGAAUAUUUGCCUGACAUAGGUGACCCCAGGACCUGGAAUUGCUUGAAUUAAAUGCAGAAAUAUCCACCUUCUGAAGGAUAUGACUUGGGACAAAAAGGAGCAAAGGUUUUCACCGUGUCACCCAGAGAGCAGGAAGAGGAUUGCUCUUGAAAACCACGCUUGGAAACAACUCUCCCAGUUUUCCCACUUCAUGUUUGAUUCACUUCUCUGUUAAAAAUAAAGACAAGUAAAAACUGA
This is a long non-coding RNA of Haemorhous mexicanus (house finch), 6302 nucleotides long. RefSeq lists it as uncharacterized. Lineage: Eukaryota; Metazoa; Chordata; Aves; Passeriformes; Fringillidae. The transcript is spliced from 4 exons. The record is from RefSeq and is a predicted model, not a curated record.